Molecule: ribosomal RNA, 501 nt
Filed under: uncultured Desulfobulbus sp.
Lineage: Bacteria; Pseudomonadati; Thermodesulfobacteriota; Desulfobulbia; Desulfobulbales; Desulfobulbaceae
Description: bacterial SSU rRNA
Rfam family: Bacterial small subunit ribosomal RNA
Source: RNAcentral
GCCCGCUCAGAAACUCAAAGGAAUUGACGGGGGCCCGCACAAGCGGUGGAGUAUGUGGUUUAAUUCGAUGCAACGCGAAGAACCUUACCUGGUCUUGACAUCCCGGAGACCCUUAGGAAACUAGGGGGUGCUUCCAUCCGGAAGAAUCUGGAGACAGGUGCUGCAUGGCUGUCGUCAGCUCGUGUCGUGAGAUGUUGGGUUAAGUCCCGCAACGAGCGCAACCCUUGCCUUUAGUUGCCAGCAGUUCGGCUGGGCACUCUAAAGGGACUGCCGGUGUUAAACCGGAGGAAGGUGGGGAUGACGUCAAGUCCUCAUGGCCUUUAUGACCAGGGCUACACACGUACUACAAUGGCCGAUACAAAGGGCAGCGACACUGCGAGGUGAAGCCAAUCCCGUAAAAUCGGUCUCAGUCCGGAUUGGAGUCUGCAACUCGACUCCAUGAAGUUGGAAUCGCUAGUAAUCGUGGAUCAGCAUGCCACGGUGAAUACGUUCCCGGGCCUU